Molecule: ribosomal RNA, 255 nt
Filed under: uncultured bacterium
Lineage: Bacteria
Description: partial 16S ribosomal RNA
Rfam family: Bacterial small subunit ribosomal RNA
Source: RNAcentral
UACGUAGGGUGCGAGCGUUGUCCGGAAUUAUUGGGCGUAAAGAGCUCGUAGGCGGCUUGUCGCGUCGGAUGUGAAAGCCCGGGGCUUAACUCCGGGUCUGCAUUCGAUACGGGCAGGCUAGAGUUCGGUAGGGGAGAUCGGAAUUCCUGGUGUAGCGGUGAAAUGCGCAGAUAUCAGGAGGAACACCGGUGGCGAAGGCGGGGUCUCUGGGCCGAUACUGACGCUGAGGAGCGAAAGCGUGGGGGAGCGAACAGG